GGGGGGCGGGGGGGGGGGGGGGGGGGCGUGCGAGUCGGGCGGGGGGGCCCUUGCGGGGGUACACGCGUGGCGGCCGGGUGAGUAACACUUGAGUAACCUGCCCCCCCCUUUUGGAUAACGCUAUUAACCUGGUUCUACUACUGGAUAUGUGCUCCUGCUUCAUGUUUUUGGUUGUAAAGCUCCGGCGGUUUUUGAUGGACUCUCUGCCUAUCAGCUUGUUGGUGGGGUAGGUGCCUAACAAGGCGGCGACGGGUAGCCGGCCUGAGAGGGUGACAGUCCCAAUUGGGACGGAGAUAGGGCCCAGACUCAUAAGGGAGGCAGCAGUGGGGAAUAUUGAACAAUGGGCGCAAGACUGAUGAAGCAACGCCGCGUGCGGGAUGACGGCCUUCGGGUUGUAAACCGCUUUCAGCAGGGACGAAGCUUUUUGUGACGGUACCUGCAGAAGAAGCACCGGCUAACUACGUG
Molecule: ribosomal RNA, 465 nt
Filed under: uncultured bacterium
Lineage: Bacteria
Description: partial 16S ribosomal RNA
Rfam family: Bacterial small subunit ribosomal RNA
Source: RNAcentral